GUGGGGAAUAUUGGACAAUGGGCGAAAGCCUGAUCCAGCCAUGCCGCGUGUGUGAAGAAGGUCUUCGGAUUGUAAAGCACUUUAAGUUGGGAGGAAGGGCAGUAAGUUAAUACCUUGCUGUUUUGACGUUACCGACAGAAUAAGCACCGGCUAACUUCGUGCCAGCAGCCGCGGUAAUACGAAGGGUGCAAGCGUUAAUCGGAAUUACUGGGCGUAAAGAGCGCGUAGGUGGUUUUGUAAGUUGGAGGUGAAAUCCCCGGGCUCAACCUGGGAACUGCCUCCAAAACUGCAUGACUAGAGUACGGUAGAGGGUAGUGGAAUUUCCUGUGUAGCGGUGAAAUGCGUAGAUAUAGGAAGGAACACCAGUGGCGAAGGCGACUACCUGGACUGAUACUGACACUGAGGUGCGAAAGCGUGGGGAGCAAACAGGAUUAGAAACCCGGGUAGUCC
RNAcentral lists this ribosomal RNA (450 nucleotides) under uncultured bacterium. Its description in RNAcentral is "partial 16S ribosomal RNA". It matches the Rfam family "Bacterial small subunit ribosomal RNA", at positions 354 to 796 of the family's 1533-position model. The record is from RNAcentral.